UGCAGUCGAGCGCAGGAAGCAAGCUGAUCCCCUUCGGGGGUGACGCUUGUGGAAUGAGCGGCGGACGGGUGAGUAACACGUGGGCAACCUGCCUGUAAGACUGGGAUAACCCCGGGAAACCGGGGCUAAUACCGGAUAAUACUUUCUUUUGCAUAAAGGAAAGUUGAAAGGCGGCUUCGGCUGUCACUUACAGAUGGGCCCGCGGCGCAUUAGCUAGUUGGUGAGGUAACGGCUCACCAAGGCGACGAUGCGUAGCCGACCUGAGAGGGUGAUCGGCCACACUGGGACUGAGACACGGCCCAGACUCCUACGGGAGGCAGCAGUAGGGAAUCUUCCGCAAUGGACGAAAGUCUGACGGAGCAACGCCGCGUGAGUGAUGAAGGUUUUCGGAUCGUAAAACUCUGUUGUUAGGGAAGAACAAGUUGGGUAGUAACUGACCCAACCUUGACGGUACCUAACCAGAAAGCCACGGCUAACUACGUGCCAGCAGCCGCGGUAAUACGUAGGUGGCAAGCGUUGUCCGGAAUUAUUGGGCGUAAAGCGCUCGCAGGCGGUCCUUUAAGUCUGAUGUGAAAUCUCGCGGCUCAACCGCGAACGGUCAUUGGAAACUGGAGGACUUGAGUACAGAAGAGGAGAGUGGAAUUCCACGUGUAGCGGUGAAAUGCGUAGAGAUGUGGAGGAACACCAGUGGCGAAGGCGACUCUCUGGUCUGUAACUGACGCUGAGGAGC
This 730-nucleotide ribosomal RNA is filed under the name Oceanobacillus picturae. Its description in RNAcentral is "bacterial SSU rRNA". It matches the Rfam family "Bacterial small subunit ribosomal RNA", at positions 38 to 754 of the family's 1533-position model. Lineage: Bacteria; Bacillati; Bacillota; Bacilli; Caryophanales; Bacillaceae. The record is from RNAcentral.